RNAcentral lists this unclassified non-coding RNA (300 nucleotides) under uncultured Mortierella. Its description in RNAcentral is "sequence contains 5.8S rRNA gene, ITS2". The stretch from base 1 to 71 matches the Rfam family "5.8S ribosomal RNA", at positions 84 to 154 of the family's 154-position model. The record is from RNAcentral. Lineage: Eukaryota; Fungi; Mortierellomycota; Mortierellomycetes; Mortierellales; Mortierellaceae.
GUGAGUCAUCGAAUCUUUGAACGCAUAUUGCGCUCUUUGGUAUUCCGAAGAGCAUGCUUGUUUGAGUAUCAGUAAACACCUCAAAGCUUUUGAUUUUUUUUGAAAGCUUUGGACUUGAGCAAUCCCAACACCAGUCUUUUUUAGAUCGGAGGCGGGUUGCUUGAAAUGCAGGUGCAGCUGGACAUUCUCCUGAGCUAAAAGCAUAUUCAUUUAGUCCCGUCAAACGGAUUAUUACUUUUGCUGCAGCUAACAUAAAGGGAGUUUGACCGUAUUGGCUGACUGAUGCAGGAUUUCACAGGG